GUUGACCAUACACUGUGGAAAAAGGAAAACAACAGAAACUUUCAAGAGCUAAGUCUGAGUUGACAUUGAUAACCAGAGACUCAAAAAAUCAUUAUAGCCCCCAUUCAGUGUGGGGUCCUGAGGAAACCAGUGAUCUAGAAGCAGCCUAAUACAACUUGGAGACCAGGAUGACUCCGCCAGUCACCUCCCUCCCACACCACCAGAGAACAUUUCUAGGGGAAGAGAUUAAAGCUUUGGUACCAUAGAAGAGAUACUGGAGAUGAAGCUGGGCAGAGUUUCAGCAGUGGCUACUACUCUCUACCCACAGUCAGCAUGAUGUGAAACUUUCUUAGGAAUCUCUCCUAUCUUCUGUCUGACUUCCUGGUAGUAUCCAUGGAGGAAAGGACUAAUAGAAGGUGAAAAUUCUCCCUUGUCUACUACCCAGAGACUUCAUACCCAUAUGUAGCCUUCAGUAAUUUAUUAAACUUUUUAAGCUCUUUAUUGAUUGAUUGAUUGA
Molecule: long non-coding RNA, 496 nt
Organism: Felis catus (domestic cat)
Lineage: Eukaryota; Metazoa; Chordata; Mammalia; Carnivora; Felidae
Exons: 3
Source: RefSeq, a predicted model, not a curated record